AGUGAACGCUGGCGGUAGGCCUAACACAUGCAAGUCGAACGGCAGCACAGUAAGAGCUUGCUCUUACGGGUGGCGAGUGGCGGACGGGUGAGGAAUACAUCGGAAUCUACUUUUUCGUGGGGGAUAACGUAGGGAAACUUACGCUAAUACCGCAUACGACCUACGGGUGAAAGCAGGGGAUCUUCGGACCUUGCGCGAUUGAAUGAGCCGAUGUCGGAUUAGCUAGUUGGCGGGGUAAAGGCCCACCAAGGCGACGAUCCGUAGCUGGUCUGAGAGGAUGAUCAGCCACACUGGAAGUGAGACACGGUCCAGAGUCCUAAGGGAGGGAGCAGUGGGGAAUAUUGGACAAUGGGGGCAAGCAUGAUCCAGCCAUACCGCGUGGGUGAAGAAGGCCUUCGGGUUGUAAAGACCUUUUGUUGGGAAAGAAAAGCAGCAGGUUAAUACCCAGCUGUUCUGACGGUACCCAAAGAAUAAGCACCGGCUAACUUCGUG
This 492-nucleotide ribosomal RNA is filed under the name uncultured bacterium. Its description in RNAcentral is "partial 16S ribosomal RNA". It matches the Rfam family "Bacterial small subunit ribosomal RNA", at positions 29 to 507 of the family's 1533-position model. The record is from RNAcentral.